GGAAGCGGCGCGGGCUGCGGGCGCUGCACGCCGCGCGGUUGUUGUGAUACAGCCUCCGCCACGUGACUGCGCGGGGCCCGCCUUCCCUGCGCGCGGUGCCUCCUCACGGUGACUCAGCACUUUGUGCGGGCUCGGAGCCGAAGGUCUAUCCCGGGGAGGCUGAUUUGGGGCAAAGUCUUGGUGGUUAUUCCUGCCCCCGGGCUGCAGAAGCCUCAAUCGCUGUGGUUACACUUCAGCUACGCCAGGCCUCCAGGCAAGGAGGCUCUGUAGUCCCAUCGUUACCCAUUUCCCACUCAUCUCGGUUUCUCAGAGAUCAAAUAAGAAAAGCAUAGGGAUAGUGCCCAGGGGUCUCUGAGGAGGGUAUUCCUGGAUUAAGUCACUUGAGGCCACCUACCCCUGCCUUACUGCACUCUUUGGCCUGAGUGUACCUUGUCCCUGAAGUUUUCUCAGGUCUCAACAAAUUACUGUGCACAGCACACCAGCUUCAUGCUGGACUUUUGGAAUCCAAAGAGCAGUGCUGGCUGUCCUGGAUUGCUGCGUUUUCUGGAUGAGGCGACUGAGAUACUAAUAAUACUAAGCACAGGUAUUUGGUCACAUCAGCAGAAGACUGACCACCAAACUCCUGAAAAUGGAGACUGUAGACAUUCCUUAGCCACUUGUCUUUUAUUCCAAAUUAUCUAGCUAUUCUAAAUUAUGGGACUUUGAAUAGACAAAUAAAACCCAAAAACCCAUGCUUGUCACAUGUAAUAAAACUGUUUCACAAUGAUUGGCAUGGACAAUUAUUAUUGUUAAAGUAGGUCAAGUGUUCAAAGGUAAAGUCAUUAAGAUAUGUAUUUACCCUUUUAAGGAUUCCUAAUCUAGUUCCACACUUUUGCCUUUAUUUUACUUACCUAAAUUCAUAUAAUAUAUGUAAACUUCAUUCUAGAUAAUACCAAAUAAUUGACAAUUGGCCUGGUCUCAUGCAGCAAUAUUCUGAGGUACAUAGAUUAUCUAUCUGUGCAUAGAUAAUAAGAUGUUUAAAAAAUGUUUUAAUGUAAACAUAAUUGCAUCUGUGUAGAAAGGUAGUUGUACUUCAUAUUGGGCAAUUUUACUCAGGUAAGACCAGUUCCUGAAAGAAAACAAAAGAAUGAUAACAUAAUUGUACUUCUAUAAGUUACUUUCCACACUUUACUCUCUUCCACUUAUUUUAGCACUUGGGUUUAAAUGUAGUAGGUACCUUAGGAAAAGAAAUUUGACUUACCUAAAAAAAAAUUUUCCUACAAUGCACAGAACAGCCCCACAACAAUGAAUAUCCUGCUCGCAAUGUCAAUACUAUGAAGUAUGAAAUUGAGAAUCUAGGUCUGUUGUAUCAGGAUAUAGUAAGUGUUCCAUGGGUGCUAUUCCUUAAAUAUUUGCAAAUAUUUCUAAGGUCAUCAAAAUGGUUAGUUGAAAAGAACUGAACAUACACAAUGAUUAGCAUCAUUUUGUUUACCUCUCUCUCUCUCUCUCUCUCUCUCUCUCUCUCACACACACACACACACACACACACACACACACACAUACACACUCACACUCACUCCACCCUUCAGAGGAGUAUUCAGCAAAGGGGAUGGGUACCAGGUAAGCUUGUUGCUCUAUUUGUCUCUGAUCUGGACAUGGAGGGAGAAUUAAGAAAUUACUCAAAAUUUGUUAUGAUCAGAUUUAUAUUUAUUCUUCCCUACAAACCAAAAAAGGCAGAAUAGCUUCCCAGUAUGCCCUAGGACAGUUUUGUGCCCUGACUAGUUACAGGAUGCCAAAAUGCUGUUUCCUCUUCACUUUUGUGAUGGCAAAGCAAAAGUUAAUUUGAGUGGUCUGGGCUCCUUGUUCACAGCUUACUAUGGAAAGCAACAUCCUUUGCAGUAAAAAAUAUUCUUAUUUUUAAGGUGUACAAUAUUAUGAAAAAGGUUAGAAAAGGCUAUUAUGAAGUAUCAGCACAAUUUACUGAGGAGGAAAACAAAACCACAGAUCAGGAAAUACAAUAAUAGAGCAAGUUUGUAAACAGAACCAGGUUUGAUUCAGAUCUGUUUGACUUCAAAGUCUUAAGUUCAUUUCCACUUUCCUCACAUCUCUAAAAUCAAAACUGAAAUUAGAAUAGGCCUGUCUUACAGAGAGUGCUUUGACAGAAAAGGAGGAAAUUAAAAGUGAGGGAAUAAACAUGUCUUAUAUCUACAAUAUCCCUGGUGCUUUACAUUAAGAAUAUUAUUCAGUUUUCUUAAUAGCUUUAACUUACACAUAAACUAAUAGUGGACAGCCUUGGGGUUUUUUAUGAAUUUAAUUUGCUCUUUUAUAAUGUUCUCGGUAUGCCUCAUUAAUUCUAAGAACUGACUUAGUUCUUAGAAAACAGAGGAUUCAGUUCUCAAGAGAAAUGUUGAUGAUAGAAAUUGCACUUAAUCCCAAGCCUUUAGACUGUGUGAUGGUAUAAUUCAUUCAGUAUAUGACUGUACAAAAGAAAAUUAUUAAAUUUGAUAUUUUUAUUUUUUAUGUUUCACUUUUUCUAUGUACCUUUUGGAUUCUUUGUACACAAUUCUAGGAUUUGAGAACAAUAUCUACAUCAUGUGCUGAUUAGAGAAGAUAUAGGAAAGACCAAAUGGCAUAUCAGACGUUGAAUCACUACUUUUGAGAGAUGAAAGUAACAUGGGAGCUAGUAUAUCUCAGAGACCCACACUCCAGAGGAUCUGCUGCCAGUGCUUCUCCAACAUAGUGGAACAAUGGCACUGAGCUCAGGACUCCACUGCAAAGUCAGCUGUUUAUCUCUGAGUUCAUUGGACCAGUGACCCCUGCCUACCCCAAGCAUGCAGUCCUGUCAACUUCACCGGUGUGAUAGAGAAAAUCAGAGAGGUUGAAGAUCACUUGCCAAGAGUACAGAAUUGGAAAACUGUACACAGGAUUGGAGCCCAGGACUACGUCUCUCCAAAGCCAUCUAUGCCACGUUCUCUAAAAGGACUCAUGAGUUUCUUCUGUCCUUAUGGCUGUUUUUGCCUCUCAUGGAACCUGUUAGCUGAGGUAAGUAGGCUAAGAAGGGGGUGAGGAAGUGCACAUCAAUUUAGAGUGAGGUGGGUUGAGACCAGCCUGAACAAUAUAGAAAGACCCUUCCACAUUUCUGCUGUUUGUUGCAGCAGUAUGGU
Non-coding RNA from Ictidomys tridecemlineatus (thirteen-lined ground squirrel), 3143 nucleotides. The record is from RefSeq and is a predicted model, not a curated record. Lineage: Eukaryota; Metazoa; Chordata; Mammalia; Rodentia; Sciuridae.